This 1722-nucleotide ribosomal RNA is filed under the name Triticum aestivum (bread wheat). RNAcentral's name for it is "partial small subunit ribosomal RNA". The record is from RNAcentral. Lineage: Eukaryota; Viridiplantae; Streptophyta; Magnoliopsida; Poales; Poaceae.
AUGCCGGCUUCCGUUUCCCUUCUUCUCCUCCUUCCCCCUCCGUGUUGCUCGCGACGGCAAGGUCAGGAGAGAGACGAGUGCGGCGCCAGAAGAAGGCGGCGGCGGCGGAGGAGGACCCGGCGCCGUCUCCGGCCAUUUGAGCGGGGCACCAUGUCGAUGGAGGACAGCGCGCAGCCGGCCGGUGCCGCCAGCGCCGGCGAACGCGCGAGCUCGCCGUCGCCGUCGCGUCGGCUGCCGGACUUCCUGCAGUCGGUGCGGCUCAAGUACGUGAAGCUGGGGUACCACUACCUCAUCACCCACGGCAUGUACCUCCUGCUCACCCCGCUCAUCGUGCUCAUCGCCGUCCACCUCUCCACGCUCUCUCCGGGCGACGUCGCCGACCUGUGGACGCACCUCCGCUUCAACCUCCUCUCCGUCAUCGCCUGCUCCACGCUCCUCGUCUUCCUCUCCACCGUCUACUUCCUCACCCGCCCGCGCUCCGUCUACCUCGUCGACUUCGGCUGCUACAAGCCCGGCCCGGAGCGCCGGUGCUCGCGUGAAACCUUCAUGCGCUGCUCCAAGCUCACCGGCAACUUCACCGAAGCCAACCUCGAUUUCCAGCGCAAGAUCCUCGAGCGCUCGGGUCUGGGGGAGGACACUUACAUCCCUCCCGCCUUGGUCACCGUGCCGCCCAACCCCUCCAUGGAAUUGGCGCGCCAGGAGGCGCAGGUCUGCAUGUUUGGUGCCAUCGACAACAUGCUCGCCAAGACCGGGGUGAAGCCCAAGGACAUUGGGAUUCUUGUUGUGAAUUGCAGCCUGUUCAACCCAACACCGUCACUGUCCGCCAUGGUGGUGAACCAUUACAAGCUGAGAGGGAACAUAGUCAGCUACAAUCUGGGAGGAAUGGGGUGCAGUGCCGGGCUCCUGUCAAUAGAUCUGGCCAAGGAUUUGCUCCAGGUGCAUCCCAACUCGUAUGCGAUGGUGGUCAGCACCGAGAACAUUACCCUGAAUUGGUAUUUUGGGAACAACCGGUCGAUGCUUGUGUCGAAUUGCCUGUUCCGGAUGGGCUGCGCUGCGAUCCUGCUGUCGAACAAGCGGUCAGACAGGAGGAGGUCCAAGUACGAGCUGGUGCACACUGUGAGAACUCACAAGGGCGCAGAUGACAAGUGCUUCAGCUGUGUCACCCAGGAGGAGGAUGAUAGCGGCAAGGUUGGCGUGGCACUGUCGAAGGACCUCAUGGCGGUGGCUGGAGAUGCGCUCAAGACGAACAUCACAACGCUUGGCCCGCUUGUGUUGCCAUUCUCUGAGCAGCUGCUGUUCAUGGUCACAUUGGUUGGCAAGAAGCUGUUCAAGAUGAAGAUCAAGCCAUACAUUCCUGACUUCAAGCUGGCAUUCGAGCACUUCUGCAUCCACGCUGGUGGGCGCGCUGUGCUUGAUGAGAUAGAGAAGAACAUGGACCUCACCGACUGGCACAUGGAGCCGUCCCGGAUGACUCUCUUCCGGUUCGGCAACACGUCCAGCAGCUCGCUCUGGUACGAGCUGGCCUACAGCGAGGCCAAGGGGAGGAUCAGGAGGCGUGACAGGAUCUGGCAGAUAGCGUUCGGUUCGGGGUUCAAAUGCAACAGCGCUGUCUGGAAGGCGCUGAGGUCAGUGAACCCAGCGAAGGAGCAGAACAACCCCUGGAUGGACGAGAUCGACACAUUCCCGGUGGAUGUUCCCAAGGUUUCCAAGGUUGCUGAAUAG